Small nuclear RNA from Grammomys surdaster, 107 nucleotides. NCBI's taxonomy places the organism in Eukaryota, Metazoa, Chordata, Mammalia, Rodentia, Muridae. The record is from RefSeq and is a predicted model, not a curated record.
GUGCCCCUUUCAGCAGUACAUGUAGUAAAAUUGGAACAAUACACACAAGAUUAGCAUGGCCCUACUGUAAGCACGACAGGCAAAUUUGUGAAGUGUUCCAUAUUUUU